Molecule: ribosomal RNA, 484 nt
Filed under: uncultured bacterium
Lineage: Bacteria
Description: partial 16S ribosomal RNA
Rfam family: Bacterial small subunit ribosomal RNA
Source: RNAcentral
AUUGAACGCUGGCGGCAGGCCUAACACAUGCAAGUCGAGCGGAUGAAGGGAGCUUGCUCCUGGAUUCAGCGGCGGACGGGUGAGUAAUGCCUAGGAAUCUGCCUGGUAGUGGGGGAUAACGUCCGGAAACGGGCGCUAAUACCGCAUACGUCCUGAGGGAGAAAGUGGGGGAUCUUCGGACCUCACGCUAUCAGAUGAGCCUAGGUCGGAUUAGCUAGUUGGUGGGGUAAAGGCCUACCAAGGCGACGAUCCGUAACUGGUCUGAGAGGAUGAUCAGUCACAAUGGAACUGAGACUCGGUCCAGACUCCUACGGGAGGCAGCAGUGGGGAAUAUUGGACAAUGGGCGAAAGCCUGAUCCAGCCAUGCCGCGUGUGUGAAGAAGGUCUUCGGAUUGUAAAGCACUUUAAGUUGGGAGGAAGGGCAGUAAGUUAAUACCUUGCUGUUUUGACGUUACCAACAGAAUAAGCACCGGCUAACUUCGUG